UCAAACAAGAUGAUAUACCACUUCUUUCUCAUUAUUCUUUCUUCUACAUUUAACUCUUCACUCUCCUCCUUUUGCUUAUUCAUAUUUUGUGAUAUCCUCCAUUUUACUAAUAUCCAUUUUUUUGUGUUUUGUAGAAAAAGUAUAAGACAUUCAUCUCUAUCCAACAACAAGAAUUACUCAUCUCUACCAACAACAACAACAACGCGGCCGAAUAAGUAUAUGAAGAUGAAACUCACGUAUGAAGAUCUCUUUGCCAUUUUGUUGUUGCGGCGGCUAGGAUUUGAUGAAGGAGAAGAGAGAAUUUGGUGAAAAAUAUAUGAAGGUUAUACCAACCAUGUAUUCACAAGAUAUUUACAAAAUAGAAGGAUUUCAUUUUCCGGCACGGUGGAUGCAAUUUCCGGCACGGUGGUCACCGGUUAUCUAUGGUGGUGGAGAUCUAGACGAAAAGGUGGACGGUUGGAGAAAUAUA
This is a long non-coding RNA of Trifolium pratense (red clover), 469 nucleotides long. RefSeq lists it as uncharacterized. NCBI's taxonomy places the organism in Eukaryota, Viridiplantae, Streptophyta, Magnoliopsida, Fabales, Fabaceae. The record is from RefSeq and is a predicted model, not a curated record. The transcript has 4 exons.